UGGGGGAUAUUGCACAAUGGGCGAAAGCCUGAUGCAGCGACGCCGCGUGGGGGAUGAAGGCUUUCGGGUUGUAAACCUCUUUCGCUAUCGAACAAGGCCCGCUUAGGAUGGGUUGAGGGUAGGUGGAGAAGAAGCGCCGGCUAACUACGUGCCAGCAGCCGCGGUAAUACGUAGGGCGCGAGCGUUGUCCGGAAUUAUUGGGCGUAAAGGGCUUGUAGGCGGCUUGUUGCGCCUGCUGUGAAAACGCGGGGCUUAACUUCGCGCGUGCAGUGGGUACGGGCAGGCUUGAGUGUGGUAGGGGUGACUGGAAUUCCAGGUGUAGCGGUGGAAUGCGCAGAUAUCUGGAGGAACACCGAUGGCGAAGGCAGGUCACUGGGCCAUUACUGACGCUGAGGAGCGAAAGCAUGGGUAGCGAACAGG
RNAcentral lists this ribosomal RNA (420 nucleotides) under bacterium. Its description in RNAcentral is "partial 16S ribosomal RNA". It matches the Rfam family "Bacterial small subunit ribosomal RNA", at positions 355 to 776 of the family's 1533-position model. The record is from RNAcentral.